RNAcentral lists this ribosomal RNA (459 nucleotides) under uncultured Acidobacteriota bacterium. Its description in RNAcentral is "bacterial SSU rRNA". It matches the Rfam family "Bacterial small subunit ribosomal RNA", at positions 19 to 496 of the family's 1533-position model. Lineage: Bacteria; Pseudomonadati; Acidobacteriota. The record is from RNAcentral.
CAUGCUCAGAAUCAACGCUGGCGGCGUGCCUAACACAUGCAAGUCGAACGAGAAAGGGGCUUCGGCCCUGAGUACAGUGGCGAACGGGUGAGUAACACGUGAUUAACUUGCCCUCGAGUGGGGGAUAACCUCGGGAAACCGGGGCUAAUACCGCAUAAGACCCCGGGGUGAAAGUCCCUACGGUCAAAGGAGCAAUUCGCUCGAGGAGAGGAUCGCGGCUGAUUAGCUAGUUGGUGAGGUAACGGCUCACCAAGGCGGUGAUCAGUAGCCGGCCUGAGAGGGCGCACGGCCACACUGGAACUGAAACACGGUCCAGACUCCUACGGGAGGCAGCAGUGGGGAAUUUUGCGCAAUGGGGGAAACCCUGACGCAGCAACGCCGCGUGGAGGAUGAAGGCCCUUGGGUCGUAAACUCCUUUCGAUCGGGACGAUAAUGACGGUACCGAAGAAGAAGCACCGC